RNAcentral lists this unclassified non-coding RNA (507 nucleotides) under Stegodyphus dumicola. RNAcentral's name for it is "uncharacterized LOC118180223, transcript variant X1". The record is from RNAcentral. Lineage: Eukaryota; Metazoa; Arthropoda; Arachnida; Araneae; Eresidae.
UGAAAUAAUUAAAAAAAGAAUGAUGAAGUGUGACUGCAAGGGACGUCCGGUAUCCUUUUCUGUCAUUGCACUUUUCCUGACAUGAUAAGGCUCUACCACGUACACUUUGGUAUUCAUAAUGAAGAAAGGAGUGUUUUUAUCAUGAAAUGGCUCUCAGGUGUAAAAAUGCAUAGGAUAUAUCUUAGUUUAUUGAAGUUAAGAAUUGGUGCUUUGUGGACUAAAAAAUAUGUGCAAUAUCCAUUGUCACACCACCACUCUGUUCAAGAAUAUCGAUCAGUCCUGAAUGAUAAAGAAAAUGAUUAACAAAGGAAUAUCUAGAACUUGAUUGUGUGCAUGAUUUAAUUCCAAAUAUAAGUAUUGGAAUAAUUCAUCCUCCUUAUUUUCAACAAAAACUCUUCAUUUGGUAAUAUACAUUUGUGCUUAUCAGUGUGGUGUCUUGUGUAACAAAUCGUCAGUAUUAUAAAAUAGAUGGAAAGAUCUUUGAUUAUUGCAAGAGCUUUAUGUGCU